RNAcentral lists this ribosomal RNA (461 nucleotides) under uncultured bacterium. RNAcentral describes it as "bacterial SSU rRNA". It matches the Rfam family "Bacterial small subunit ribosomal RNA", at positions 28 to 507 of the family's 1533-position model. The record is from RNAcentral.
GACGAACGCUGGCGGCGUGCUUAACACAUGCAAGUCGAACGGGAACCCUUGGAUUCGUCUGGGGGGGAGAGUGGCAAACGGGUGAGUAACACGUGGGUGACCUGCCCCGAAGAGGAGAACAACCAUCGGAAACGGUGGCUAAUACUCCAUGUGCUCUGUGGUUCGUUCCACUGAGUAAAGCUCCGGCGCUUUGGGAGGGGCCUGCGGCCCAUCAGGUAGUUGGUAGGGUAAUGGCCUACCAAGCCGAUGACGGGUAGGGGGCGUGAGAGCGUGAUCCCCCACACUGGCACUGAGACACGGGCCAGACUCCUACGGGAGGCAGCAGUGAGGAAUAUUGCCCAAUGGACGAAAGUCUGAGGCAGCAACGCCGCGUGGGCGAUGAAGGCCUUCGGGUUGUAAAGCCCUUUUCUGGGGGACGAGAGAGGACGGUACCCCAGGAAUAAGUCACGGCUAACUACGUG